UUUGCAGUAAAAACAAAAAGACCCACACUUUACCUGUAUUUUUUGGUAAACGUAAUCAAUUCUAAAGAAGAAAAAUGUAAGAAUCAAAUAUCAAAGAGGAAGAAAGAAAAGUCCAAAAUAUUUCGGAACACAUCUUGUUGUUGACUCUGGGCCUCGGUCUCCCUGUCUCGGAGGACAAGGCUGGGCAAGUGCCUGAGUCUUCAAGGCAAGCUUUAAUUGUUUAACGUGAGGUGGCCAACAUCAUCUUUAAAUGUCACGCCUUUUGGUAUGUUUCACAAAAUUGGCUCCUUUCCGUUAAAUCCUGUAUCUGCUAUACAAUUCUAAAUUAUUAUUUCUGAUUGAGACAGCAAAUUAAUCAUUCGGUGACGUGGGAGGGGGGAGAAACACGUGUCUAACUGGAGGUUGUGAAGUUCAGUGAGGUAGUAUUUUUAGCUUGGAAAGUCCAAAUUCAGAUAUUUGGGUAUCUCCCCCCCCCAUCGUUAUCCCACUCCCUCCCCAUUUUACUCUUCUCUUUCACUCACCCCUUCGGGCUCCUUCCCCCGCUUUCUCCCCCUUCCUCAGGCUGUCUUUUCCUUCCCCUACAAUCCCCCGCCACAGCGCCUCUCCUCUUUCCUUACCCUUCUCUUCUUCCCCUCUUCUCCUCUUCUCUCCCCGCCCCCCAUCCCGUCUCUGUGUGUGUAUCUCUCUCUCUGUGUCCCCCCCCCCAUUUAUUGUCUGAUCCUAUCAGUCAAGUUAAUAUAAAAGUAGCAAGUGGGAGGCCCAGCACCCUCUCUUCCGCGCGCCUAGGGCACUUUGGGGAGGUGUCGGCCGCUGCCAGGUUACCGGCGGGAGUGGUGGCCCUUGGUGCAGGGCACGCCGCCUGCGGAGGAGUUGGGGUCUGCGCUGGGUUGCAGGGCUUAUUCAAAUGCCGCCCGCUGCUGCUGUGAUUCGCAGGGACUCGGCCUCCAUAUGACGCCGAAAGGAGCCUGUGUAUGUCCUGCGGCCGCCCUGUGACUCUGGAUCUUGUCUUCUGGCCGGCGCUUCGAUUCCUGCCCAGCUGGAUUUGAGGGGCAGCAGUGCCUGGCGCAGGGAGGAGAGCAAAUGAGACUACAAAGAAGCAUAAAAUGAAUAGACAGUUCAACCAGCCAAAGACCGGGGGCAGCAGCACGCCAGCAAGACGGCAUCUUCUCCUCCCCAGCCUAGAAGCCCUGUGAAAUCGAGGAUCUUCCCCCUAAAACACACACACACAAGAUAUGUGCAAUCAAGCUGCCACCGCUUGGUAAAAAGCUCAUGGUGCCUAACCCAAAAGGAUCGGGAGCAGAUCCUUGAAUCAGCUGUCACUUCUUCUAUAGAAUGGGAUGGUUUUUUUCCUUCCUCCUUACCCUGCGCUGGAAAUUGCCGUUGGCUUUAUACGUCUCUAUAGAGGGAGGCUAAAGAGUCUUGCGUGAGAAUGAAGCAAUUUACAAUGCAAAUAGAGGCCUGUGAAGGGACGGAUGCUGCUGCUCACUCGUAACCGCUUGCUGCACCUUAAUAGCUGGUUUUAUUUUCUGAUAUUAAUAGAUGAAUUGUUGGCUAACGCUGCCGGAGAUUACUUGCUGAAAGGAAAAAAAAAAAGUUCGGAAUAAACUUUGAAAGCAACAGAUCUCGUUUGGAUGUUUAGCCGCACACACAGACAGAAACCAGGUCAUAUUUACAUACAAGGAGGAAUCUUAUGCGCGGCGAGUAUCCUGGAGGACUACCCUUCUGUGCUGUCGGAAAGAUCGGGACCUGGAGUCUGAUCAAAGGAAGACAGAGGCGCGUGAGGGAAGCGAGUUGUUAUCUUUGGUUAUCUAGCUGUAUGAGUGUAUUGGUCUUCAUAAAGCUAGAUAACCGAAAGUAAAAACUCCUUCAAGAUCGCCGGGGAGCGUGUGAGAAUGAGAGACUACAACCGAGAGACAGUAAAAACCAGAAAGGUCAGGAAUACUUAUUGAAUCUAACUUUGUUUUUGUUUUUUUGCCUUUUGAUUAAAGGUGGGGUUAGAGGAAAUUAAGUGACGCAUAUGCCAAAAUAUAAAGGUGCCAGGUACUUGGAGAGGGGUUGUUACAGCUGCAAAGGAGAAUUGUAUGGUGCUAAUGAGGAAAGAGGCUUGCGCAGUUUGUCUUGCUUUAAGGCAAAAGUUUGUAUAUGAGGUUGGUUUUUUUCUUAGACAGCUGUUGUAGAGAUGUCUGGUACCUAGUUUAAAAAUGAUUUGGUAAUAUGUGGACUUAGGCUCUUCCCUUCUGAGGCCCCUCCCCUGAAAAAUUUGAAAGAUGAUGCUUGGAAACUACAUGUAUUUGGGUUGUAUGUCAAAUUAUAUGAAAUUAGACUUUCAGAAAAUUUAUACUGGAAGGUUAAUCAUUUGUAUCUACUGAGGACAUAGAGCUAGAAGGGAAAAUGCAAAAAAAGAAAAAAAAAGCAAAGGCUGAUUUUUAUUCUUCUAUUCAAAAUACAAGGACAGAUGCUUCUCUGUUCCAAGAGGGUUUCCUUGAGGAAGCUACUGAAGCAGAAAGACAUGAUGGAGACGAGAUCGCCUCCCCUCUUGUCAAAGUGUUAAAAAAAUGUUCUGUCUUACUCUGCGCCUAGCAUUGGAAAUGAAAGUGACAUUUACGCCACAACCCACGUGUGCGCCUCCUCUCUUUUUGUUUAAGGAUGAUCAGGUCUAUCCAGGAAACAGCUCUGGCAUCCCAAACUGAAAUAAUUAGGACGUAUAUAGACCUGACAAAAAUGGAAAGGGGGUGGGGAAUCUGAGGGUCUGUCUUGCCUAAUUGAUUCCGCUAAACGGAAUGCAGGAGAUGUGAACGGCAGGACGCUCCGAUUCCCACGCUCGGGGGCAAGUGGUAAAGCGGGCCCGGCAGCCUAUGACAGACAGCCCUGUUGGGGGGUGGGGGUAUGAAAAAAACAUCGAGUGCACACACCAUACUCAUCUCCAUCGCUUAAGAAAGUAGAGGCAUUUCCCACCCACAGCCAUCUGCAGCCUCCCAAAUGGCAGCACCAACUGGUCUGUAGCUGCUGCAUACUGUCUGAUUCUGUUAAUUUUAUAACCGCUGUUUAAUCUGGCCAUAAUUAAGUUUGGCUUUCUUCUUUGCUUGAGAUUUUCAAUAUUUAAGGAAAGCUAGUAGAAAGCAGUUCCAAGCAAGUCCCAUGACUGCCUGCCCCUCAUGUCAAAUUGCCAGUCCGCACUUUUGGCCUUCCACCUUUUGGCUUUUGUUUUGGGGAAGGGGGUUCUAUUUAAAAUACUUAUCUCUUCUGUAAUAGACAUUAUUAUCACUUCAUCAGGCUCUUUACCUCUGAACAUGAUAUAUCCAGGAAGUUGGCCUAAUUCUGCUAGUAGACAUACACUGGAAGUAAAACUAUAAAAUCAUCAACCUAUAGAAAGGUGACCACAAUAACAGUGUGAUGAAAGGUUGUUUUAGUAUAGUCCCAGCUAGAUGUGUUCUAAACAGCCAUUUUUAUUUAAUCUAAAAUGACUAUGCUUAGCAGAAACUUUGGGAGGUCCCCAUGGUAAUCUUUUCAUGAAAGUCCUUUCAUUUUUCCACGUGUCACCAAGCAAACAUUUGUAUAGGCAUUUAAAAAUAAACACAAACACAAACACUGUAAUAAGAAAAUGCCCAAAAUGGCCUGUUAUCUUCCACGUGACCUAGAUUACUGACAAUCCCAAAUCCCAAAUACACAACUUUUCUUCAAAAGCAUUACAUUUCCUUUGUAGCUGCAACUCCUUAUAAGAGUUCAGACUGGAGAAGCCUGAAAAACCACUGUUAAUUUCAGUUAGAAACUGAGAGACUUUAUGAACGUAAAUUCUCAAUUUGGCCGCUGAACACGUGCCAAAGUUUUAACUACUGUAGUGACCGUUGAGAAGACCCUUGUUUAUUUACAUUUGAAGCACUGUUUGUGCAAACAACCUUUCAUUGUUAAGUGCCUGUAUUCCUUUCAUUUACUUCAUGUCCAGGGGUGCUAUUUACCUAGAACCAUUGUCUACUACAAUUAACAUUUACAUUACAAAGUGUGUGGUUUUCUUUCUCAAGGAGGUUCAAUUAAGGCAAUAAGAUGUUUGCUGGGGAAACCUAUUGUUUACUGAAAGCACUCAAUGGAGUCAAAUUACUGAAGCUUUUGCCUACAUCUUGGUCUUUUAUGUAAAUGUGUUAAAUAUAACAUCUAAGGAAAAUAAACAAUAUUAUAAUUACGUGUUUGCCAUUGUCAUAUCAAACUUGCUUUGUAUCAUACUAAUGUUACAUGACUUAUCGAUCAAUAAAAAUACAUUUCAAUGUUAUUAUUUUCAUUUUAUUUUUUGCUGUUCCACUGCUCUUGCUGCAACAUGUUCCAAUUUUUCUUUUUUCUAUUACACAUCAAACUUAUGACAUUUUGUUUUAUUUGUGUGUGUUGAAGAGAGGUACUGUAUCCAAGCAUGGGUCUGAAGGGUGUCUGAGGACAUCUCUACAGUGACCUUAUAAUAAGGUGAUAUUUCUUUGAAAUCUGAAAUAUUCCAAAGGCAUGUACAUUUAAGUCAAAAGAAGUGUAAAUAUCAGUUAAGUAGUUCUUUGAAAGCUAGUUUUAACAUUGGCAGAAACCGGAUCAAGUUUAUUUAGCAUACCACUGCAUUGUAAAACAGUUGGAGUGAAGUUGCAGGUUGCGUGAGUAUGCAUGUUAACUAGUGGGAACCAAGCGCAGUCUUUGUGAAAGGGGAGCAGCAGAUUGCUGUGCAAGGCCAAUGUUAAAAAGGCAGCUGAAUUUAACACCAUCUGGAAGAAAAGAUCCCUUCACGACUUUCUCACACCGUCAGACAAAACUAGUGUCUCUUGUUCCGAGCCCUUGUCUAUGCAACCAUACAAUACUGAGUCAUUAUACUUUUGCUGAGAGAAAAUUUGAGAACACAAUAUGGGUAACCAGUGAAUGACCAAGUUUCAUUGUGCCCGCUUAAGUCGAUUGAAAUCUACGUCUAGAGCUCUGAAUGGUAGUAUUGUUUUCCUCACCAGGGCUGUACUAAAUGUCAGCACAGUGUAAAGAAAAACUUGAAGUCUGCAAAUAACUUACCAGAUCUCAAUUAUAAUAUUUUCCCACACUAGAACUAAUAUCAUUGCGAGGGGCUACACUGCAGAAAAUACCAAAAGAAACGAAAAGAAAUAGAGAGUUCAUUUAGAAGUUAUUUUAUCCAGACAAACAUUUUAAUUUUCUGAUGGGAACUUCAAUUCAGGCUGCAGGCUGGGUUGAGAAGUAGAAUUCAUUACUGGGAAGUUCAAGUUACAAAAAUGCUUCUUGUGCAAUUAAAAUAGAAUAAAGCAAACCACUAGUCCCACCUGAAACUCUCUCUUCUUAAAUAUAAAGAGACUCUAGUUGAAUUUUAUUGCUUUAGUUCUGCUUAGAAUUAUUAGUGUGCAUCUAGCUUAAAUUUUGCUUUAAAUUUUGCCAGACACUGCUCUUUCAAAGUUUGCCCCUAUGAUUGACAUUGCAAAAGAACAUCAUAGUGUACAUUUCCAAAAAUAUACAAGGUUUGGCUCCUCCCUAGGUGGGUUCUGGUGCCUUCAGGAAUACACCUCCCUGUAUAUUACACCCCUUUCCC
This 5551-nucleotide long non-coding RNA is filed under the name Equus caballus (horse). RNAcentral describes it as "lncRNA (ENSECAG00000053362.1)". The stretch from base 1789 to 1864 matches the Rfam family "mir-9/mir-79 microRNA precursor family". Lineage: Eukaryota; Metazoa; Chordata; Mammalia; Perissodactyla; Equidae. The record is from RNAcentral.